GGUGGCUCAGUGGUAGAGCGCUUGCCUUGCCAUGCAUGAGGUCCUGGGUUCGAUUCCCCAGCACCA
RNAcentral lists this transfer RNA (66 nucleotides) under Dipodomys ordii (Ord's kangaroo rat). It matches the Rfam family "tRNA". From Rfam's summary of the family: Transfer RNA (tRNA) molecules are approximately 80 nucleotides in length. Their secondary structure includes four short double-helical elements and three loops (D, anti-codon, and T loops). Lineage: Eukaryota; Metazoa; Chordata; Mammalia; Rodentia; Heteromyidae. The record is from Rfam by way of RNAcentral.